This 384-nucleotide ribosomal RNA is filed under the name uncultured bacterium. Its description in RNAcentral is "bacterial SSU rRNA". It matches the Rfam family "Bacterial small subunit ribosomal RNA", at positions 30 to 417 of the family's 1533-position model. The record is from RNAcentral.
AUUGAACGCUGGCGGCAUGCUUUACACAUGCAAGUCGAACGGACCUAGGGGCUUGCUCCUAGGUUAGUGGCGAACGGGUGAGUAAUGCAUCGGAACGUACCGUGUAAUGGGGGAUAACGCAGCGAAAGUUGUGCUAAUACCGCAUACGAUCUACGGAUGAAAGCAGGGGAUCGCAAGACCUUGCGUUAUACGAGCGGCCGAUGUCGGAUUAGCUAGUUGGUAGGUAAAGGCCUACCAAGGCAACGAUCCGUAGCGGGUCUGAGAGGAUGAUCCGCCACACUGGGACUGAGACACGGCCCAGACUCCUACGGGAGGCAGCAGUGGGGAAUUUUGGACAAUGGGCGCAAGCCUGAUCCAGCCAUGCCGCGUGAGUGAAGAAGGCCU